UCGUGCAAAACGUGUGAGAGGUGCACCUCGAGGUUGUCGCUGAUGCUCGUGCACGCCGGAGCAUGUCCUCUCACAUGACACAAUCCAUCUCACCCUUUGUGCACCACCGCGUGGGCACCCUUCGGGAUCAGACCGAUCUCUCAGGGGACUCGCGUUUUCACACAACACACCCCCCUUUUAAAAAGUGUAGAAUGACCUCAUUUAUUUGAUCAGUA
This 215-nucleotide unclassified non-coding RNA is filed under the name uncultured Russulaceae. RNAcentral's name for it is "sequence contains ITS1". The record is from RNAcentral. Lineage: Eukaryota; Fungi; Basidiomycota; Agaricomycetes; Russulales; Russulaceae.